AUGGGAACGCGAAGAACCUUACCUAGACUUGACAUCUCCUGAAUAGUGUAGAGAUACAUGAAGCCCUUCGGGGCAGGAAGACAGGUGGUGCAUGGUUGUCGUCAGCUCGUGUCGUGAGAUGUUGGGUUAAGUCCCGCAACGAGCGCAACCCUUAUUACUAGUUGCUACCAUUAAGUUGAGCACUCUAGUGAGACUGCCCGGGGUUAACCGGGAGGAAGGUGGGGAUGACGUCAAAUCAUCAUGCCCCUUAUGUCUAGGGCUACACACGUGCUACAAUGGUGGGAACAAAGAGAUGCAAGACCGCGAGGUGGAGCUAAACUCAAAACCCCAUCCCAGUUCGGAUUGUAGGCUGAAACUCGCCUACAUGAAGCUGGAGUUGCUAGUAAUCGCGAAUCAGAAUGUCGCGGUGAAUACGUUCCCGGGUCUUGUACACACCG
Molecule: ribosomal RNA, 437 nt
Filed under: uncultured bacterium
Lineage: Bacteria
Description: bacterial SSU rRNA
Rfam family: Bacterial small subunit ribosomal RNA
Source: RNAcentral